UAGUGUAUGUCCUGUGCACCAGUCAAGC
Molecule: non-coding RNA, 28 nt
Filed under: Rattus norvegicus (Norway rat)
Lineage: Eukaryota; Metazoa; Chordata; Mammalia; Rodentia; Muridae
Source: RNAcentral